CCUACGGGUGGCAGCAGUGGGGGAUAUUGCACAAUGGGGGCAACCCUGAUGCAGCGACGCCGCGUGGGCGAUGGAGUCCUUCGGUAUGUAAAGCUCUGUCAGCAGGGAAGAGAAUGACGGUACCUGCCCAAGAAGCCCCGGCUAAAUCCGUGCCAGCAGCCGCGGUAAUACGUAUGGGGCAAGCGUUAUCCGGGUUUACUGGGUGUAACGGGAGCGUAGGCGGGAGGGCAAGCCUGAGGUGAAAGCCCGGGGCCCAACCCCGGGACUGCAGUGGGAACUGCCCCGCUCGAGUGCCGGAGGGGGAGGCGGAAUUCCUAGUGUAGCGGUGAAAUGCGUAGAUAUUAGGAGGAACACCAGUGGCGAAGGCGGCCUGCUGGACGGUGUACUGACGCUGAGGCUCGAAAGCGUGGGGAGCAAACAGGAUUAGAUACCCGAGUAGUC
Molecule: ribosomal RNA, 441 nt
Filed under: uncultured bacterium
Lineage: Bacteria
Description: partial 16S ribosomal RNA
Rfam family: Bacterial small subunit ribosomal RNA
Source: RNAcentral